UGCGUAGGUGGUUUCUUAAGUCAGGAGUGAAAGGCUACGGCUCAACCGUAGUAAGCCUUUGAAACUGGGAAACUUGAGUGCAGGAGAGGAGAGUGGAAUUCCUAGUGCAGCGGUGAAAUGCGUAGAUAUUAGGAGGAACACCAGUUGCGAAGGCGGCUCUCUGGACUGUAACUGACACUGAGGCACGAAAGCGUGGGGAGCAAACA
RNAcentral lists this ribosomal RNA (206 nucleotides) under uncultured bacterium. Its description in RNAcentral is "partial 16S ribosomal RNA". It matches the Rfam family "Bacterial small subunit ribosomal RNA", at positions 568 to 774 of the family's 1533-position model. The record is from RNAcentral.